AUGCAAGUCGAACGCGAACGAGUUCUUCGGAACUUCAGUAGAGUGGCGCACGGGUGAGUAACGCGUAAGUAAUCUACCCUCGCAUUUGGGAUAACCCACCGAAAGGUGUGCUAAUACCGGAUACGUCUAUUUUAAUAUCUUUUUGAUAGAGAAAGGUGGCCUCUGCUUCAAGCUACUGUGCGGGGAGGAGCUUGCGUACCAUUAGCUAGUUGGUAGGGUAACGGCCUACCAAGGCGAUGAUGGUUAGCGGGUCUGAGAGGAUGAUCCGCCACACUGGAACUGGAACACGGACCAGACUCCUACGGGAGGCAGCAGUGAGGAAUAUUGCGCAAUGGGGGCAACCCUGACGCAGCGACGCCGCGUGGAUGAUGAAGGCCUUCGGGUUGUAAAAUCCUGUCAGAUGGGAAGAAGUGUACUAUGCCCAACACGUGUAGUAUUUGACGGUACCAUCAAAGGAAGCACCGGCUAACUCCGUGCCAGCAGCCGCGGUAAUACGGAGGGUGCAAGCGUUGUUCGGAAUUACUGGGCGUAAAGCGCGCGUAGGCGGCCGUAUAAGUCAUUUGUGAAAGUCCCUGGCUCAACCAGGGAAGUGCAUGUGAAACUGUGCGGCUUGAGUACUGGAGGGGGUAGUGGAAUUCCCGGUGUAGAGGUGAAAUUCGUAGAUAUCGGGAGGAAUACCGGUGGCGAAGGCGACUACCUGGCCAGAUACUGACGCUGAGGUGCGAA
RNAcentral lists this ribosomal RNA (726 nucleotides) under uncultured Desulfobacterales bacterium. RNAcentral's name for it is "bacterial SSU rRNA". It matches the Rfam family "Bacterial small subunit ribosomal RNA", at positions 55 to 757 of the family's 1533-position model. The record is from RNAcentral. Lineage: Bacteria; Pseudomonadati; Thermodesulfobacteriota; Desulfobacteria; Desulfobacterales.